CCUACGGGAGGCAGCAGUGAGGAAUAUUGGACAAUGGACGCAAGUCUGAACCAGCCAUGCCGCGUGCAGGAAGACGGCUCUAUGAGUUGUAAACUGCUUUUGUACGAGGGUAAACGCAGAUACGCGUAUCUGUCUGAAAGUAUCGUACGACUAAGGAUCGGCUAACUCCGUGCCAGCAGCCGCGGUAAUACGGAGGAUUCAAGCGUUAUCCGGAUUUAUUGGGUUUAAAGGGUGCGUAGGCGGUCGGAUAAGUUAGAGGUGAAAUCCCGAGGCUCAACUUCGGACUUGCCUCUGAUACUGUUCGGCUAGAGAGUAGUUGCGGUAGGCGGAAUGUAUGGUGUAGCUGUGAAAUGCUUAGAGAUCAUACAGAACACCGAUUGCGAAGGCAGCUUACCAAGCUACUUCUGACGUUGAGGCACGAAAGCGUGGGGAGCAAACAGGAUUAGAUACCCCAGUAGUC
This 460-nucleotide ribosomal RNA is filed under the name uncultured bacterium. RNAcentral describes it as "partial 16S ribosomal RNA". It matches the Rfam family "Bacterial small subunit ribosomal RNA", at positions 338 to 795 of the family's 1533-position model. The record is from RNAcentral.